GUCCGCACGAGCGCACCCUCGCCCUUAGUUGCCAGCAUUUAGUUGGGCACUCUAGGGGGACUGCCGGUGAUAAGCCGGAGGAAGGUGGGGAUGACGUCAAGUCCUCAUGGCCCUUACGGGCUGGGCUACACACGUGCUACAAUGGCGGUGACAGUGGGCAGCGACCUCGCGAGGGGUAGCUAAUCUCUAAAAGCCGUCUCAGUUCGGAUUGUUCUCUGCAACUCGAGAGCAUGAAGUUGGAAUCGCUAGUAAUCGCGUAACAGCAUGACGCGGUGAAUACGUUCCCGGGCCUUGUACACACCGCCCGUCACACCAUGGGAGUUGGUUUUACCCGAAGGCGCUGCGCUAACCCGCAAGGGAGGCAGGCGACCACGGUAGGGUCAGCGACUGGGGUGAAGUCU
RNAcentral lists this ribosomal RNA (401 nucleotides) under alpha proteobacterium Dell 8. Its description in RNAcentral is "bacterial SSU rRNA". It matches the Rfam family "Bacterial small subunit ribosomal RNA", at positions 1084 to 1488 of the family's 1533-position model. Lineage: Bacteria; Pseudomonadati; Pseudomonadota; Alphaproteobacteria. The record is from RNAcentral.